Molecule: ribosomal RNA, 253 nt
Filed under: uncultured bacterium
Lineage: Bacteria
Description: partial 16S ribosomal RNA
Rfam family: Bacterial small subunit ribosomal RNA
Source: RNAcentral
UACGUAGGCAGCAAGCGUUGUUCGGAAUUACUGGGCGUAAAGAGUGUGUAGGCGGUGCUCCAAGUCUGGUGUGAAAUCUCCCGGCUUAACUGGGAGGGUGCAUUAGAAACUGGAAUGCUAGAGGAUGGGAGAGGUAAGCGGAAUUCCUGGUGUAGCGGUGAAAUGCGUAGAUACCAGGAGGAACACCUGUGGUGUAGACAGCUUACUGGACCAUUUCUGACGCUGAGACACGAAAGCGUGGGUAGCAAACAGG